RNAcentral lists this transfer RNA (70 nucleotides) under Hoplodactylus sp. Roys Peak. Its description in RNAcentral is "tRNA-Ala". The record is from RNAcentral. Lineage: Eukaryota; Metazoa; Chordata; Lepidosauria; Squamata; Diplodactylidae.
GGAGGCUUUAGCUUAAUUAAAGUGUCUGAGUUGCAUUCAGGAGAUGUACAUUAGGGUUGUGCAGGUCUUC